CAAUAUAUACAGCUAGGCUUCAUCGUCGUCAUCGUCAUCAACGCAAAAACAGAUACAUAUAUACAGUAGCCAUGGCUGAGCAUAUAUAUGUAUGUAUAUUGUCAUCGUAUCAUCGAUCUACCAGCUACAAAUUCACACCGACUCUCUGCACUGGACUUCACUACUUCACUUAAUAUAUUAUCGUAAAUGCAUUAUAUAUUUACUCCAAUUUUCCUUUUUCUGCAUCCAUCUUGGGAUUUUUUCCAUCAAUUAAUACAUUUGCUGCCCCUCGAUUUACUCUCUCUCUCUCUCUCUCUCGUCUUCUACCAUUCCCUCCUUCAAUUCCAUUGAAUGAUCAUUUCAAUUCUUAUCAAUUCAAUUCCCUUUCUCUCUCUCUCUCUCUCUCUUGCUUUCUUUCUUUACAAUUACACCCCCCCAACCCCCAUGAUUUAAUUAAUUAAGCUUUAAAGCAAUCCCAUCUUUCUCUGCUAUAUAUAUAUAGGCUCUUCUCCUUCCAUCGCCACCAAAACCCAUCCCUUCAUCUGGUGGAGCUCCGCCGUGACGACCGCCCCCCCGCUUUGCUGCAAAUUCCGGCCGCUUUUUUCAGCUAUCAUGAGCCGGAGGAACGGGAAUAAUGGAGGGCCGAAGCUGGACUUGAAGCUAAACCUGUCGCCGCCGAGGAUGGGGCGCCAGGCGGCGCACGAGUCGCCGGGGCGAUCGUCGACGGUGUCCCCGACGUCGCCGCCCAGCUCGUGCGUUUCGUCGGAGAACCCGGAGGAGUCCCGGCGUUACUCCAGCAGCCCGGAGGCGGCGGCCAUGGUUCUCGCCGGCUGCCCGCGGUGCCUCAUGUACGUGAUGCUCGCCAAAGACGACCCCAAAUGCCCCAAGUGCAAAAGCUCCGUUUUGCUCGACGUUUUCUGCGACCAUAACAAUAACAAGAGCGCCGGCAAGAGUUAGGGAUUCAUCAUAUCGUCGUCAAGAAUUAGCGAAUUAUUCAACCGGUUUAAUGUUAGAUCAACAACUGUUGGAUUGAGAUUGAUCAACGUAAAAGUUACUAGGACGAUGUAUAAUCAUCCUAUUAUUGUUAGUAUUAUUAUUAUUAUUAUUGUUAUUGUUAUCAUCAUCAUCUUCUUCAUUGUGAUAGUUCUAUACUCUGUAACUGUAGGAGUAUAGGCAAUGGAAGUAGGAAAUUAAUCUGGGUACAAUUAUGUUGGUUGGUGUAAGUUUUUGAUCUAUCUUUAGCAGAAACCGAUGUAAGCAAUGGGACAACAACUCAGAAUGCCCAGAUUUAUUUUAUGUAUAAUUUUUUAGGUUAUUUUU
Long non-coding RNA from Ipomoea nil (Japanese morning glory), 1299 nucleotides. RefSeq lists it as uncharacterized. NCBI's taxonomy places the organism in Eukaryota, Viridiplantae, Streptophyta, Magnoliopsida, Solanales, Convolvulaceae. The record is from RefSeq and is a predicted model, not a curated record. The transcript has 2 exons.